UACGUAGGGUGCAAGCGUUGUCCGGAAUUACUGGGUGUAAAGGGUCCGCAGGCGGGCGAACAAGUCGGUGGUGAAAGCUCUUCGCUUAACGGAGAGACUGCCAUCGAUACUGUUUGUCUUGAGUUCGAGAGAGGAUGAUGGAAUUCAUGGUGUAGCGGUGAAAUGCGUAGAGAUCAUGAAGAACACCGGUAGCGAAGGCGGUCAUCUGGCUCGAUACUGACGCUCAGGGACGAAAGCGUGGGUAGCAAACAGG
This 253-nucleotide ribosomal RNA is filed under the name uncultured bacterium. RNAcentral describes it as "partial 16S ribosomal RNA". It matches the Rfam family "Bacterial small subunit ribosomal RNA", at positions 524 to 776 of the family's 1533-position model. The record is from RNAcentral.